Molecule: long non-coding RNA, 649 nt
Organism: Frieseomelitta varia
Lineage: Eukaryota; Metazoa; Arthropoda; Insecta; Hymenoptera; Apidae
Exons: 4
Source: RefSeq, a predicted model, not a curated record
AUUAUUUCCAUCGUUUCGCCGCUACGCGACGCUAGCAUUUCAGUGUCUAUAAAUUGACUAAAGUCUCAUUGAAAAAGGCAACUAAUUACGAGGAUUAAUUUAUAAACUCUUAGUAGUUGGAUCUUCGUAUUUAGACUACUCACUUCCUUUUUUAUAUUUUCUUUGACGUAGGAUCUAUUUUAUUAUUCAAAUUAUUGUCUCACAUAAUGGUUAACAUGACAGUUAAAUAACUUCCAACAAGCGGAGCACGAGGAAAAAUUAAAUAUUGAAUAUGUUGAUAAUAAUAUAUUUGUAAAUAUUGAAAGGACUUUUACGUUUAAUCGCAGUUAUUAAAAAUGAUGUUGUGGAAGUACUUGGUAAAAAAGUUCAAUUUAACAAAUGAUAAGCUUUUCAAUUUCCGAACGAAAUUAGCCGCACUAUAUGCAUUCAGUGCAUGGCAGGUAAUGAUACUUGUCUUUCUAUAUUCAAUUGAGGAAAGUUUCCCUAAUAAUACGGAAAAACGAGAUAAAUUCAUAAAGAAAGCACAAGAAACGAAAGAAGUACAGGUUAUACGGAUCGAUGGAUUUCAAAUAGUUGACAAGUUAGAAGAUAAGAAAAUUGAAACAGACAGUUGAUAUGUCUACACAAUAAAGAUUUAAAAUUUAAGAAA